GGGGAAUAUUGGACAAUGGGCGCAAGCCUGAUCCAGCCAUGCCGCGUGGGUGAAGAAGGCCUUCGGGUUGUAAAGCCCUUUUGUUGGGAAAGAAAAGCAGCCGGCCAAUACCCGGUUGUUCUGACGGUACCCAAAGAAUAAGCACCGGCUAACUUCGUGCCAGCAGCCGCGGUAAUACGAAGGGUGCAAGCGUUAAUCGGAAUUACUGGGCGUAAAGCGUGCGCAGGCGGUUUUGUAAGACAGUGGUGAAAUCCCCGGGCUCAACCUGGGAACUGCCAUUGUGACUGCAAGGCUGGAGUGCGGCAGAGGGGGAUGGAAUUCCGCGUGUAGCAGUGAAAUGCGUAGAUAUGCGGAGGAACACCGAUGGCGAAGGCGACUGCCUGGGCCAACACUGACACUGAGGCACGAAAGCGUGGGGAGCAAACA
Molecule: ribosomal RNA, 426 nt
Filed under: uncultured Pseudomonadota bacterium
Lineage: Bacteria; Pseudomonadati; Pseudomonadota
Description: bacterial SSU rRNA
Rfam family: Bacterial small subunit ribosomal RNA
Source: RNAcentral